Molecule: ribosomal RNA, 492 nt
Filed under: uncultured bacterium
Lineage: Bacteria
Description: partial 16S ribosomal RNA
Rfam family: Bacterial small subunit ribosomal RNA
Source: RNAcentral
AGUGAACGCUGGCGGUAGGCCUAACACAUGCAAGUCGAACGGCAGCACAGUAAGAGCUUGCUCUUACGGGUGGCGAGUGGCGGACGGGUGAGGAAUACAUCGGAAUCUACUUUUUCGAGGGGGAUAACGUAGGGAAACAUACGCUAAUACCGCAUACGACCUACGGGGGAAAGCAGGGGAUCUUCGGCCCUUGCGCGAUUGAAUGAGCCGAUGUCGGAUUAGCUAGUUGGCGGGGUAAAGGCCCACCAAGGCGACGAUCCGUAGCUGGUCUGAGAGGACGAUCAGCCACACUGGAACUGAGACACGGUCCAGACUCCUACGGGAGGCAGCAGUGGGGAAUUUUGGACAAUGGGCGCAAGCCUGAUCCAGCCAUACCGCGUGGGUGAAGAAGGCCUUCGGGUUGUAAAGUCCUUUUGUUCGGAAAGAAAAGCAGCAGGUUAAUACCCCGCUGUUCUGACGGUACCCAAAGAAUAAGCACCGGCUAACUUCGUG